CAAAUAUCUGCUGGGGGCAGGGAGCUGCUCUUUCUUCACUCUCCAUUAAACAACACAGCUGAAGGAUGAGCAGAUACUUUUGAUCCUUUCAUCACAACUACAGAAGGCCUUUUCACGAGGGACAUUAUUUCAAUGGUAUCAAACUAGUGGAGUGCUAGAUGCAAGAGAGAGAGCUGAAAGAAACACUGAAGAAUGGAAGACAGGAUGGUGGAAGUUAAAAGGUAGAGAGGACACAACUGUCUCCUGUAAAAAGCCAAACAGAAGACUCAGCACAAUAAGUAACUGAAACAUAUGUAUGCCAACUGGACCCAUCAAUUGCCUUGAGUGAGAACCAGGAACUUCCAAGAUCUACCAGGUUCCCCAAUUUUUUUUUUCUGAUAAUACACGAGGGGACAAAUAAUACUGCAAAGAAUGGCUCUGAAAACUUUGGAACAAAACUCUGGGAGAUGAGGUGGUAUUCUCAUCUAUUUUUCUAGUUCAUGGAAAAAAGAUUAAAAAGAGAAAGAAAGAUA
Pantherophis guttatus is the source of this 512-nucleotide non-coding RNA. NCBI's taxonomy places the organism in Eukaryota, Metazoa, Chordata, Lepidosauria, Squamata, Colubridae. The record is from RefSeq and is a predicted model, not a curated record.